UGAGUACGAGCUGCUACGGCAGCGAAGUGGGUGAUGUCAAGCUUCCAAGAAAAGCCCUAUACCCGUUAAGGCAUGAUGGCCUGUACCCGAAACCGACACAGGUGGGGUGGUAGAGAAUACCGAGGGGCGCGAGGAAACUCUCUCUAAGGAACUCGGCAAAAUGGCCCCGUAACUUCGGGAGAAGGGGUGCCACCGCAAGGUGGUCGCAGUGAAGAGGCCCAGGCGACUGUUUACCAAAAACACAGGUCUCCGCUAAGUCGCAAGACGAUGUAUGGGGGCUGACGCCUGCCCAGUGCCGGAAGGUUAAGGAAGCUGGUCAGCGCAAGCGAAGCUGGCGACUGAAGCCCCGGUGAACGGCGGCCGUAACUAUAACGGUCCUAAGGUAGCGAAAUUCCUUGUCGGGUAAGUUCCGACCCGCACGAAAGGCGUAACGAUCUGGGCGCUGUCUCGGAGAGAGGCUCGGCGAAAUAGAAUUGUCUGUGAAGAUGCGGACUACGUGCACCCGGACAGAAAGACCCUAUGAAGCUUUACUGUAGCUUGGUAUUGUGCCCGGGCUCUGAAUGCGCAGGAUAGGUGGGAGGCUUUGAUCCAUUGCUUGUGGGUAAUGGUGAGCCAACGGUGAGAUACCACUCUUUCAGAGCUAGGGUUCUAACGGUCACCCGUUAUCCGGGGACCGGACAGUAUCAGGUGGGCAGUUUGACUGGGGCGGUCGCCUCCUAAAAGGUAACGGAGGCGCGCAAAGGUUCCCUCAGGCUGGUUGGAAAUCAGCCGACGAGUGUAAAGGCAGAAGGGAGCUUGACUGUGAGACCUACAAGUCGAACAGGGACGAAAGUCGGCCUUAGUGAUCCGACGGUUCUGAGUGGAAGGGCCGUCGCUCAACGGAUAAAAGUUACUCUAGGAUAACAGGCUGAUCUCCCCCAAGAGUUCACAUCGACGGGGAGGUUUGGCACCUCGAUGUCGGCUCAUCGCAACCUGGGGCUGAAGUCGGUCCCAAGGGUUGGGCUGUUCGCCCAUUAAAGCGGUACGCGAGCUGGGUUCAGAACGUCGUGAGACAGUUCGGUCCAUAUCCGGUGCAUGCGCAGGAAUAUUGAGAGGAUUUCUCCCUAGUACGAGAGGACCGGGAGGAACGCACCUCUGGUGUGCCAGUUAUCGUGCCAACGGUAAACGCUGGGUAGCCAUGUGCGGAGAGGAUAACCGCUGAAAGCAUCUAAGUGGGAAGCCCACCUCAAGAUGAGUAUUCCCAUGGCGUUAGCCAGUAAGGUCACGGGCAGAACACCCGUUGAUAGGCUCUACGUGGAAGCCGGGCAACCGGUGAAGCGGAGGAGUACUAAUAGACCGAGGGCUUGACC
This 1349-nucleotide ribosomal RNA is filed under the name metagenome. RNAcentral's name for it is "bacterial LSU rRNA". It matches the Rfam family "Bacterial large subunit ribosomal RNA", at positions 1564 to 2925 of the family's 2925-position model. The record is from RNAcentral.